UAAAACUAACGUCACUCCCAUAGUCACAAGACCUCUCAGCUGAGGCUGUCUUAAUUUCUCUGUUUUUCCCAAAUAUAAAGUUUUUCGAUUCUUCUUCGGUAAUAACAGACGUGAUUAUCAAUUCUAUAGCCAAAAUGGCUAAUAUCGGGGAUGAAAAUGUUAGUCAACUUAUGCCGUCGCUGGGUGAUGAAAAAAUCGAUAUGAUUGCAGCCACCAGCGUCUUGCAAAUUCGUGCAAGCGAGAUCCGCCAAACUCAGAUCAAUUGGCAGUCUUAUCUGCAGUCUCAGAUGAUCACGCAACGUGACCAUGACUUCAUUGUGAACUUGGAUCAGCGUGGUCAAAAGGAGCUGCCGGAUAGGAACCCAGAAACCUGUGCUGAGGUGUUCAUGAACUUGCUGACGCACAUCAGCAAGGACCACACCAUCCAGUACUUGCUGGUCCUGAUUGAUGACAUCCUUUCUGAAGACAAAAGCAGGGUGAAGAUCUUCCGUGAGGCGAGGUCUCUGGGCAACCCGUGGCAGCCGUUCCUCAACCUGCUGAACCGUCAGGAUGAGUUUGUCCAGCACAUGACUGCGCGCAUCAUCGCCAAGCUGGCUUGCUGGCACCCACACCUGAUGGAGAAGAGCGACCUCCACUUCUACCUCUCCUGGCUCAAGGACCAACUGAAAAUGAACGCGGAGAAAAUGUCUGCCGAGUUAGAGCAUGCCGAGCAGGUUAUGUUGCUGCACGAGAAACAGCAUUUCGCCGCCGAUAAACUUCAGAAACAUCUGAAACAUCACCACAAAGAAAAAGACAGUGUCGACGCUGGCCCAGAGAAGUACUCGAGCCUUUACAGCUCCUUUGAUGAGCUGAAGCCGCUUGAGGACUUGCCGCCCGGUCUGCACAAGAACAAUGACUACAUUCAAUCGGUGGCUCGUUGCCUGCAAAUGAUGCUCCGCGUGGACGAGUACCGCUUCGCGUUCCUGUCUGUGGACGGCAUCUCCACCCUGCUGUCUAUCCUGGCCUCCAGGGUCAACUUCCAGGUGCAAUAUCAGUUGGUGUUCUGCCUGUGGGUGCUGACUUUCAACCCGCUGUUAGCCGAGAAGAUGAACAAGUUCAACGCCAUCCCCAUCCUGGCUGACAUCCUCAGCGACUCCGUGAAGGAGAAGGUCACUCGCAUUGUGCUCGCUGUCUUCAGGAACCUGAUCGAGAAGCCUGAAGAUCAUCAGGUGGCCAAAGAACACUGCAUCGCCAUGGUGCAGUGCAAGGUCCUGAAGCAGCUCUCCAUCUUGGAGCAGAAGCGUUCUGAUGACGAGGACAUUAUGAACGAUGUGGACUUCCUUAACGAACGCCUGCAGACCUCCGUGCAAGACCUCAGCUCCUUCGACCAGUAUGCCACUGAAGUUAAGAGUGGCCGUCUCGAAUGGUCUCCCGUCCACAAAUCCGCUAAGUUCUGGCGCGAGAACGCGGCCCGCCUCAACGAGCGCGGCCAGGAGUUGCUGCGGACGCUCGUGCACCUGCUGGAGAAGAGCUCCGACCCCGUCGUGCUGGCCGUGGCCUGCUACGACGUCGGCGAAUAUGUUCGCCACUACCCCAGGGGCAAGCAUAUUAUCGAGCAACUGGGUGGCAAACAACGCGUGAUGUACCUGCUCAGCCACGAAGACCCUAACGUGCGAUAUGAAGCUCUACUCGCCGUCCAGAAAUUGAUGGUUCACAACUGGGAGUACCUUGGCAAGCAACUGGAGAAGGAACAGAUCGACAAGCAGGCUGGCACCGUUGUCGGCGCUAAGGCUUAAACAUGUUAUAUAUUGUAAAUGAAAUAUUUAAUUCGUUGUUAUUAUUGUUGUCUUGAAUGUACCAGGCAAUAUUACAGAUAUAGUAACUGCAUUACGUAAAACAUAAUGUAAAUAAUGUGCCUCUUUCCAUUCUGACAUAACUUGCAUCUGCGUAAUCUGUUAUUACAUGCCUAUUAUAGCUUAAAACAAUAAAAAUAGCACUAAAUUUUUUGAAAUAUUUAGUGUACACAUUCCUUUAAGGGUUUUAUUGCAUAAAAAAAUUUAAUAUGAAUGUGAUUUAUUUAAAAAAAGAUAUUAUAAUUAUAUAAUCAAUAAUUAAAAUCAAUAGAGUUUUAGUGGUUUGUGAUGUGAUAACUGGCGACAUCAGUAUUGUGAAUAAAGUUCAUCAUAAUUAUGUUGA
Molecule: RNA transcript, 2175 nt
Organism: Helicoverpa zea (corn earworm)
Lineage: Eukaryota; Metazoa; Arthropoda; Insecta; Lepidoptera; Noctuidae
Gene: VhaSFD
Gene name: V-type proton ATPase subunit H
Exons: 12
Source: RefSeq, a predicted model, not a curated record